Molecule: transfer RNA, 74 nt
Filed under: Pteropus alecto (black flying fox)
Lineage: Eukaryota; Metazoa; Chordata; Mammalia; Chiroptera; Pteropodidae
Also listed under: 1 other name
Rfam family: tRNA
About the family: Transfer RNA (tRNA) molecules are approximately 80 nucleotides in length. Their secondary structure includes four short double-helical elements and three loops (D, anti-codon, and T loops).
Source: Rfam by way of RNAcentral
GGUUCCAUAGUGAAGCGGUUAGCACGUCUGCUUUACAUGCAGAAGGGUCCUGGGUUCGCGCCCCAGUGGAGCCA